UACGGAGGAUCCAAGCGUUAUCCGGAAUCAUUGGGUUUAAAGCGCACGUAGGCGGGAUAAUAAGUCAGUGGUGAAAGUCUGCAGCUCAACUGUAGAAUUGCCAUUGAUACUGUUGUUCUUGAGUGUUUAUGAAGUGGUUAGAAUAUGUAGUGUAGCGGUGAAAUGCAUAGAUAUUACAUAGAAUACCGAUUGCGAAGGCAGAUCACUAAUAAAAUACUGACGCUGAUGGACGAAAGCUCGGGUCACGAACCGG
This 253-nucleotide unclassified non-coding RNA is filed under the name uncultured Flavobacteriaceae bacterium. RNAcentral describes it as "contains 16S-23S intergenic spacer region". It matches the Rfam family "Bacterial small subunit ribosomal RNA", at positions 524 to 776 of the family's 1533-position model. The record is from RNAcentral. Lineage: Bacteria; Pseudomonadati; Bacteroidota; Flavobacteriia; Flavobacteriales; Flavobacteriaceae.